Molecule: long non-coding RNA, 1382 nt
Organism: Oryza brachyantha (malo sina)
Lineage: Eukaryota; Viridiplantae; Streptophyta; Magnoliopsida; Poales; Poaceae
Exons: 5
Source: RefSeq, a predicted model, not a curated record
UGGACACAUGCCAAAAACCAAUUCGUUUGGUUAUGCAUCAUCACCAGAUUGUGGUAUGGACUUGCGCCAAUUCCUAGGUUAUUUUCAAAUUGGUCAGCAACCAUUCAUUCCACCACAUCCAAAUGUUUCAUUCCCACCACCAUGGCCACCUACAGCACCAACGACCAAUUCAGGCAUAUCGAAGUCAAAUUUCAAAAUUGUCACUAACGUAGACGAUGACGAUGAUGUUAGAACUGCAAAGCGUCUCCCCUAUGAAAUAGAUGAGGACUCACGACUAGUGAGUGCAUGGUUAUACCACUCAAAUGACAAUUAAUGGAAAUUGCAAGAGAAAUGAGAGUUACUGGGCAGAUGUGAUUGAACUAUACAAUAGCACUACACCUGUCAAUCGUAAAAGAGAAGUAAAGCAUCUCAAAGAUCGAUGGCAAAGAAUUAAAAGAACAGUUGCAUAUUUCUGUGCCUCUUGGGCAAAGGACACCUCAAUUUAUACUAGUGGAUAUUCAGAAGACCAGCUGAAAGAUAUAGCAUUUAAAUUUUAUUCGGAUGACUAUCCUAAAGAAGGUCCAUUCACACUUCUGCAUUGUUGGAAGAUUCUUCGUGAUGAACCCAAAUGGCAUUCAAUCUUGGAGGAGCCUGAUAAGUCAAACAAAAGGAGUUUGGAUGAUGGAGACACAGUAAGACUAGAAGAUAUUGGAGAAAAGGAACGUCCAAUGGGGAGGAAUGAAGCUAAAAAACAGCGAAACAGCAAAGGAAAAUUCAAAGAUGAUGACCCUAGUUUACAUGAAGAUAUGAAGAAGUACAUGGAUAUUCAAGUUGCAGCAAGCAAAAGACAUGAAGAAUUUAUAGAGACCCAACAACGUAUUUCUGGUGCAAAAGUUGAGGCAGCAAGGCUUAGGAGGGAGUCUGUUUUGUUGGAAUUAUAUCAAAAAUUGUUGACCAUGGACACCAGUCAAAUGGCUGAUGAUAUGAAAGCUGAGCACGUGAUAGGCUUGAAGAUUUUGAAGGACAAGCUACUAGGCAACACUAACUAAGGGAGGCGAAUACUAGUGAUCAUGUUCUUUUGCUCAGGAGGUCAACAUUGUCUAUCUUUUGGUGAUUUUCACUUGUGUCUAAGGUUGCCCAGCGUUUGGUGGUCUUCUUCAAUGAAUGAAAUUAGCAGUAGCUUGUAGCUACUUUUGCUUAAUGAAUGAAAUUAUCAGUUGUAUCUGGAUAGCAUCCGUCUAGCUUGUAGCUGCUUUUGUUUAAGGAAUGAAAUAUCGUUUGUAUUUGUCUGAUGCUAUCCAGUUUAUGCCCAUCGACUCUCUUUUGUGACCGUAUAAUACUUAUUGUGUUACCUAGUUGCUGUGCAAGUAGUAUAAUAUUCUUCAGCAUCUGACAGAAUUGCA